AGACCUUACCAAGGAGCACCACGCAGUAGAUGCUGAAACAUCACCCCCAGGAGAAGAAGCAGUAACAUGGCAGCCCCUGUUUGAAAGGAAUUAAAAAACAGCAGAGUCCCUUUAGAAAGAAACAAUGUCCAAGAAAGGGCGAAAUAAGGGCGAGAAGCCCGAAGCACUCAUUGUUGCCCUUCAAGCUGCCAAUGAAGACCUCAGAACCAAGCUCACAGACAUCCAGAUAGAGCUGCAUCAGGAGAAGUCCAAGGUGUCUAAGCUUGAGAGAGAGAAGACUCAAGAAGCAAAGAGGAUCCGUGAGCUGGAGCAGCGCAAGCACACAGUGCUGGUGACGGAGCUCAAAGCCAAGCUCCAUGAGGAGAAGAUGAAGGAGCUGCAGGCUGUGCGGGAGAAUCUCAUCAAGCAGCACGAGCAAGAAAUGUCAAGGACAGUGAAGCUGCGGGAUGGGGAGAUCCAGAGGCUCAAGUCGGCCCUGUGUGCCCUCCGGGAUGGCAGCAGUGACAAAGUACGGACAGCGCUCACCAUCGAGGCCCGGGAGGAGGCCCGGAAACUGUUUGACGCGGAGCGCCUUAAGCUCCUACAGGAAAUCGCGGACCUGAAAACUGCGAAGAAGCAGGUGGACGAGGCUCUCAGCAAUAUGAUCCAAGCGGAUAAAAUAAAGGCCGGAGACCUUCGCAGCGAGCAUCAGUCCCAUCAGGAAGCCAUCUCCAAGAUCAAGUGGGAGUCAGAGCGGGAUAUUCGGAGGCUGAUGGAUGAGAUUAAAGCCAAGGACAGGAUCAUCUUUUCCCUGGAAAAGGAACUGGAGACUCAAACUGGCUAUGUACAGAAACUCCAGCUGCAGAAGGAGGCUUUGGAUGAACAGCUCUUUCUGGUCAAGGAGGCCGAGUGCAACAUGAGCAGUCCGAAACGGGAAAUUCCGGGAAGAGCAGCGGAUGGCUCUGAGCACUGCGGCAGUCCUGAUUUGAGAAGAAAUCAAAAGAGAAUAGCUGAAUUGAAUGCCACUAUAAGAAAACUAGAAGACAGGAAUACCUUACUGGGAGAUGAACGAAAUGAACUGUUAAAACGUGUGCGGGAAACCGAAAAACAAUGUAAACCUCUUCUGGAAAGGAACAAGUGCCUCGCCAAGAGAAACGAUGAACUAAUGGUGUCUUUGCAGCGCAUGGAAGAGAAGCUAAAAGCCGUGACGAAGGAAAAUUCAGAAAUGAGAGAAAAAAUAACAUCCCAUCCACCCUUGAAGAAAUUAAAAUCACUAAAUGACCUCGAUCAAGCUAAUGAAGAACAAGAGACAGAGUUUUUAAAACUUCAAGUCAUUGAGCAGCAGAACAUCAUUGAUGAGCUCACAAGGGACCGAGAAAAGCUCAUCCGUAGGAGAAAACAUAGAAGAAGUUCCAAGCCAAUUAAGAGGCCUGUUUUGGACCCAUUUAUUGGCUAUGAUGAGGACUCCAUGGAUUCAGAGACAUCAUCUAUGGCCUCGUUUCGAACAGACCGAACACCAGCUACUCCUGAUGAUGACUUGGAUGAAAGUUUAGCAGCUGAAGAAUCAGAGCUACGGUUUCGACAAUUAACAAAAGAAUACCAGGCCCUCCAGAGAGCAUACGCCCUCCUACAGGAGCAGACUGGAGGCAUCAUCGAUGCUGAAAGAGAAGCCAAGGCGCAGGAACAGCUCCAAGCAGAGGUGCUAAGGUAUAAAGCCAAAAUUGAAGAUCUGGAAGCGACUCUGGCUCAGAAAGGGCAGGAUUCACACUGGGUAGAAGAUAAACAACUUUUCAUUAAGAGAAACCAGGAGCUUUUAGAAAAGAUAGAAAAACAGGAGGCAGAAAAUCACCGGUUACAACAAGAACUGCAGGAUGCCCGAGACCAGAAUGAGCUGCUGGAGUUUCGAAACCUAGAGCUAGAAGAAAGAGAGAGACGAUCCCCUCCAUUUAAUCUACAAAUUCACCCAUUCUCAGAUGGUGUGAGUGCUCUACAGAUCUACUGUAUGAAAGAAGGUGUCAAGGAUGUGAAAAUCCCUGAUCUCAUAAAGCAGCUUGAUAUCUUGGGUGAUAAUGGGAACUUAAGAAAUGAAGAACAAGUGGCCAUAAUUCAGGCCAGCACGGUGCUGUCCCUGGCAGAAAAGUGGAUCCAGCAAAUCGAAGGAGCAGAGGCUGCUCUGCACCAGAAAAUGAUGGAGUUGGAAAGUGACAUGGAACAGUUCUGCAAGAUAAAAGGCUAUCUGGAGGAAGAGUUAGACUACAGAAAACAAGCUCUCGACCAAGCAUAUAUGAGAAUCCAGGAACUAGAAGCUACUUUGUACAAUGCUCUGCAGCAAGAAACCGUUAUCAAGUUUGGUGAAUUAUUAAGUGAAAAACAGCAAGAAGAGCUGAGGACAGCGGUAGAAAAGUUACGACGGCAGAUGCUGAGGAAGAGCAGAGAGUAUGACUGUCAGAUUCUUCAGGAGCGAAUGGAGCUCUUACAGCAAGCCCACCAGAGAAUUCGUGACUUAGAAGAUAAAACAGACAUCCAGAAAAGACAGAUAAAAGACUUAGAAGAAAAGUUUCUGUUUCUAUUCUUGUUCUUCUCUCUUGCCUUUAUUCUAUGGCCUUGAUGUCAAGGUGCCUCUUAAAGUCUGAUUUCAUCACAACUCAGGAAAGCAGGCUUUUAAGUGAAAUUGGAUCGUCUUUGCAAAGUAACCGAAAACACGGAUAAGACUCCAGAAAGGCAAAUGCUACUAAACCUUCAAAGAUGGCAGAAAUGUUUACAACAGUGAGAGGGAGAUCAAAAGCUAAGAACUACCCUGUAGCCAGGACUACAACUGUGUAUUUUAAAGCCAUUAUUCAAGGUUUCUUACUUGACAGUUCCUACAUGACCCUGUUGAAAAUCUACAAUAUAUGCUGCAUUUAAUGAAACAUGUAUAUGUCAAACCAGAAGAGAAGAACUAUAAACAUAUAUUGUGUAAAGAAAAAAAAAAUCAGCAAUGGAAACAGUUUCAACAGAUCAAGGAAAGAUGUGUCUUGGGCAUGGAACCAAAGUUACAAAGAAACAUUCUACCCCUGCUGUGCAGGGGGAUCAUUUUAAUGUAACACCACACCCCAUGGAAACACUAGUCCCAAAAUAAACAUUUUAAAAAAUCAAAACAAGCAAACAAAAUAAAAAAAAAACAAACAAAAAAACAAGGGGGGGGUGGGGAAUGAAGCACGAGGAAUACCUAUGAGGAGCUAUUUACAAUAAAAUGUUUCAUUUGAAAAGUCUGGUUUCUUACUACAGGGAUUUGCUUUUUGUCUUUAUUGUUGUUUAAAACUCAGGAACAGAGACAUCUGCAGUGUGAAUGGGAAGAAAAGCAGUCUCCCGUUUGUCUUUCUGCAAAAGGUGAAGCUUGUGGAAUGCACUCCACAGAUGACAGAGGAUCACGGUGAGCCCCGACUAAACCGGCCACGUGGCGAGGCAGAGGACCUUGGCGAAUGUAACAUAAGAAAUAAAAGCAGAUUUGAUGCUU
Molecule: RNA transcript, 3475 nt
Organism: Hyaena hyaena (striped hyena)
Lineage: Eukaryota; Metazoa; Chordata; Mammalia; Carnivora; Hyaenidae
Gene: JAKMIP2
Gene name: janus kinase and microtubule interacting protein 2
Exons: 22
Source: RefSeq, a predicted model, not a curated record